AACGGUCUAUACCUGCGGUACCUGCGGAGGGAUCAUUACCGAGUUAUCAACUCCCAAACCCCUGUGAACAUACCCGAACGUUGCCUCGGCGGGACCGCCCCGGCGCCCCCAGCGGCCCGGAACCAGGCGCCCGCCGGAGGACCCAAACUCUUGCUUUAAACAGUGGCAUACUCUCUGAGUCUCACAAACAAAAAAUAAAUCAAAACUUUUAGCAAUGGAUCUCUAGAUCGGAAGAGCACA
Molecule: unclassified non-coding RNA, 240 nt
Filed under: soil metagenome
Description: partial contains 5.8S ribosomal RNA, internal transcribed spacer 2, and large subunit ribosomal RNA
Source: RNAcentral